Molecule: long non-coding RNA, 2974 nt
Organism: Dromiciops gliroides (monito del monte)
Lineage: Eukaryota; Metazoa; Chordata; Mammalia; Microbiotheria; Microbiotheriidae
Exons: 3
Source: RefSeq, a predicted model, not a curated record
GGUGAGGGUGAGGAGCAGGGAGCCUGCCUCCUGAGGCCAGCCAGCCCAAGGCUUCCAAGGGAAAGACCAGCCUCUGGCUCAUCAGUGCUCAACUCGAAGUCAAGCCAGUGGAUGGAAGUGGAUAGAGUUGAAGACCUUACUCUCCAGAAUUCCUAUAUAAGAAUUCUCAGGGAGACAAACACCGGCUGGCUCACUCACAGCAGUCUUGCAUUUCAUCUCCUGGAUGAAACCCAUCUGAAAGAGCUCAAAGGUGGCUCCCUGGGGAGCUGCCAAAGCCAGUGGGCAGUGUGGCAGAUGUUACCCAUGGGUACCGGCCAUGCCCCCUGCCUUGCUCCACUGAAGAAAGGAUCAGCAUGCACCCCCACCCCCUGAUCGCCUUCCCAAGGGAUUUUGUAAACUAGAGGGGCUGUUGAUUUCACAAAUCCUCUUUCAGUAGGAAAUAUGUAUUUCCACAAGAGCUUCAUUUCCAUCAGUGGGUAGAAAUGGAAUUCUCUUCUUCAAUUCUCUUCACAGUGAAGAUGACCUCUGAAUAUUACAGGGGCUCCCAGUAGGACUCUAUGAGGACAUGUUUCCAAGAUGAGCUAUUGACUUUCUUUGGAAAGGAGAGUUAAAGCUGUCUGGGAUUAGGAGGGUGGGAAUGAGGAGAACCCCUUCAUUCUGGGAAUGAGUGACUUAAUUUCUGAAGCCUCUAGGGCUCUGUAUUUUCCAUAGUGUUCUAGCAUAGGUUAUGACAAGCUGUUAUGAUAACAAGCAAUUGUUGUAGGAGAAAUUCUCUAUGUUUCCUCCCAAUGGGUAGAGAAAAGUGGUACCUUUUAUUUUUAUUUUUUUGAGGGGCAAUGAGGGUUAAGUGACUUGCCCAGGGUCACACAGAUAGUAAGUGUCAAGUGUCUGAGGCCACAUUUGAACUCAGGUCCUUCUGAAUCCAGGGCUGGUGCUUUAUCCACUGUGCCACCUAGCUGCCCUCCAAGUGGUACCUUUUAUAAAGGAAUGAAUCCCUCUCAUGUGUCUCUUCCAUGAGGUGACAUGUGGGCAGUGCUGGCUUUCUGGAUACUUGAGAAAAAAGCAAAGAUGUUUUGAUAAAGUGUCUUUAUAAGAUCAUCCCUUUGAAUGCUAGGAGAGACCUUGGUUAAUAGCAAGAAAAAAACUGAUUAAAAGUUUCUGUACCUUAUGUGAUCACUAGGAUACUAUAUAUGCAGAAUAACAGCAGAAAGAGUACGGAGUUUGGUGGUAGGUAUCUGAGUUUGAAUCCUUGUUCUAUCUUUCACUCUUUGUAUGACCUUGGACCUGUCACUUGACUCAUUUUCUGUUUCCUUCUCUUUAAAAUGAAGGGUUAGACUAGAUAAUCGUAUGAAUGCUCAAAUCCCUUUUGGCUCUGAGAGUCAGAGGUUCUGUCUUAGGAUUGGAACUGGGAGGCACCUCAAAGGCUAUCUGGUUGUCUUACAAAGAAAAAAAGUGGUCCCAGUGGGUCAUCCCUGAUGCUAGGGAAACUGAGACUAAUAGAUAGCAUGAGUUAAAGUGUUCUGAGCUGAAGAAGGGCUGAGGCUGAUCAGGUGUACCCACUAAGACCUGUACCAAUACCAUGAGCCCCCCAGGAGUAGGGGGACUUUCAGGCUGGCUAAGAGAGUUUGUUUUUCAGUCAUGUCUGACUCUUCAUAACCCCAUUUAGGGUUUUCUUGGCAAAAAUACUGGGAAUAGCUCAUGUUAUAGAUGAGAAAACUGAGGCAAACAAGGUGAAGUAACCUACCCAGGGUCACACAACUAAUAAGUGUCUACUGCCAGAUUUGAAUUCAGGAUGCUAAGUCUUCUUCUGGGCCUGUCAUUCUAUCCACUGCGCCACCUAGCUGCCAAGAUAGAGACCAAGUCUCUCCCUCUCUUUUUUAGACUUAAGAGAGAAAGACCACAGCGAAGAGAGAGAGACAGAAAGGAGGAAAAUAAGCCACAGAGAGACCAGGGUCACUGAGUCAGUAAGUGGCCAAGCCAAGAUUCAAACCCAGGACCUGAAUUCUAGAUUCAGUAUAUUACUGUUGUCUGUCUCUUUCUGAGGUCCUCUGAAGGUCCUAUACUAAACCUGGGCAGGGUUUAGUACAAGUCUGUGUGGCCAAGAUAAAACAAAGAGAUGAACAAUUGAUUACCUGCUUCGUCUCAGCUAUCUCCAUGACCAGUCGGAAUUGAACCAUUCACCACAGAAUCAUAGAAUUGUAGCAUUGAAAGGGAUCUCAGCAACCAUAUAAUCCAACCCAUACCCAAAAAGGAAUCCCUCCUAGAACAUACCCAACGAGUGGCCAACCAGUCACUGUUUGAAGAUAUCCAAGAUGGAAGAAUCUAAUCCCUCUCCAGGGAGCCCUUUCCACUGUACUCCAAUCCAGUCUUUUCCUUUUCAACUCUAGGAAGGAAGAAGGAUUUGGGGAAAUAUCUCAUUUCUCAGCUGGUCCACUCCACACUGGGUACUAUGUUUACUUAUUAAAAAUGAGCAAAGGGGAGCAGCUAGGUGGCGCCAUGGAUAAAGCACUGGCCCUGGAUUCAGGAAGAGCUGAGUUCAAAUCUGACCUCAGACACUUGACACUUACUAGCUGUGUGACCCUGAGCAAGUCACUUAACUCUCAUUGCCCCAAGGAAAAAAAAUGAGCAAAAUGGCCUUUUUACAAUGACCAUGGAUAUAUAUAUAUAUAUAUUGGUCUUCAGAUUAUUCCUGCAAAUUGAGAGAGUAGUAGAGAUUACAACAUCCCCAUUUUACAGACUGGCAAACCAGAGUUCCCAUUUAUAUUUUCCAUGGACACUCAAAACAUUCUUGAAAAUCUGGAACUGACAGUCUACUUAUGCCAUUUGUGUAUCUUUCCAUUGCCUGCAGGGUUAUUUGUAAUUUUAAUUCUUUCCUUACAUUGAAAAAUAAAACUUGACCAGUCUUAGCACCUGAAAAAAAAAAAAAGAGAAGACAAUUUGGAACUGAGCAAUUUUACUUAUAAUGUCUUCUUUU